GCUGUUCCAAUCCACAAGCUGGUAUUAAAACAGACUGGUAGUAAAAACCACUCACAGCCUUUUUCUACCUGAGAAUAUUAACUCUCACUUGGUAACUGCUACACAGAAUUAAUAUGGACAUUUCAAGUUGUAUGCAUUAGUAUAGCAUUUGUUUACAGAAUCAGAGAUUUGUAUUUAGCUAUGUUCAGCAAUAAGCUAGGGAGUGAUUUGACAUCCUUACUUCCAAAUUAAUGUAAAUCCACGGCAUCUACUCUGAAGUUAGUGGGGUAUCUCCAGCUUUAUAUCAGCAUUGCUAAAAAUAGAGUCCAAUGGUCUAUCUUUAGAUAUCCUGGAGUUCUUAUAUUUUGGAACCGUGUAACCAUGCUAACUACCCUGUUGUCAUCAUGAAAAAGGCCAGAAAAGAAGUCUAGCUGCUGCAGUGGCUCAGUUAAUGCUCCAAGGGCAAUGCCUCUGGAUCUUCUGCAUUGGGCUCUACUCUUUGUUAAACAGCUCAGCUCACGUACAUCCACCUUCUUCCUUCCCCUUCCACUCUCCGUUUGUCUGUGCUCAGAGGUACCCACUACUGGAAAAUCAAACCUUUUAAGUAUGGACAAGAACAGGAGAAAACCAUCCUCCAGUUCCCAGUAG
This 627-nucleotide long non-coding RNA is filed under the name Dromaius novaehollandiae (emu). RNAcentral's name for it is "lncRNA (ENSDNVG00000016393.1)". The record is from RNAcentral. Lineage: Eukaryota; Metazoa; Chordata; Aves; Casuariiformes; Dromaiidae.